Molecule: ribosomal RNA, 468 nt
Filed under: uncultured bacterium
Lineage: Bacteria
Description: partial 16S ribosomal RNA
Rfam family: Bacterial small subunit ribosomal RNA
Source: RNAcentral
GACGAACGCUGGCGGCGUGCUUAACACAUGCAAGUCGAACGGAAAGGCCCUGCUUUUGUGGGGUGCUCGAGUGGCGAACGGGUGAGUAACACGUGAGUAACCUGCCCUUGACUUUGGGAUAACUUCAGGAAACUGGGGCUAAUACCGGAUAGGAGCUCCUGCUGCAUGGUGGGGGUCGGAAAGCUUCGGCGGUUGGGGAUGUACUCGCGGCUUAUCAGCUUGUUGGUGGGGUAGUGGCUUACCAAGGCUUUGACGGGUAGCCGGCCUGAGAGGGUGACCGGCGACAUUGGGACUGAGAUACGGCCCAGACUCCUACGGGAGGCAGCAGUGGGGAAUAUUGCACAAUGGGCGGAAGCCUGAUGCAGCAACGCCGCGUGCGGGAUGACGGCCUUCGGGUUGUAAACCGCUUUCGCCUGUGACGAAGCGUGAGUGACGGUAAUGGGUAAAGAAGCACCGGCUAACUACGUG